GUCGAGAAUCAUUCGCAAUGGGCGCAAGCCUGACGAUGCGACGCCGUGUGAACGAAGAAGGCCUUCGGGUCGUAAAGUUCUUUCGCCUGGGAACAAGAGAGGAUGGCUAAUAUCUGUCUAAUUUGAGGGUACCAGGUAAAGAAGCACCGGCUAACUCCGUGCCAGCAGCUGCGGUAAUACGGAGGGUGCAAGCAUUAAUCGGAUUUAUUGGGCGUAAAGGGCGUGUAGGCGGAAGUGUAAGUCAGAUGUGAAAGACCGGAGCUCAACUUCGGGACCGCAUUUGAAACUGUAUUUCUAGAGGAUAGGAAGGGGAAACGGAAUUCCAUGUGUAGCGGUGAAAUGCGUAGAUAUAUGGAAGAACACCCGUGGCGAAGGCGGUUUCCUAGCUUAUUCCUGACGCUGAGGCGCGAAAGCAGGGGGAGCAAACAGG
RNAcentral lists this ribosomal RNA (430 nucleotides) under uncultured bacterium. Its description in RNAcentral is "bacterial SSU rRNA". It matches the Rfam family "Bacterial small subunit ribosomal RNA", at positions 354 to 776 of the family's 1533-position model. The record is from RNAcentral.